CGGGACACGUGGUAUCCUGUCUGAAUAUGGGGGGACCAUCCUCCAAGGCUAAAUACUCCUGACUGACCGAUAGUGAACCAGUACCGUGAGGGAAAGGCGAAAAGAACCCCGGCGAGGGGAGUGAAAAAGAACCUGAAACCGUGUACGUACAAGCAGUGGGAGCACGCUUAGGCGUGUGACUGCGUACCUUUUGUAUAAUGGGUCAGCGACUUAUAUUCUGUAGCAAGGUUAACCGAAUAGGGGAGCCGAAGGGAAACCGAGUCUUAACUGGGCGUUAAGUUGCAGGGUAUAGACCCGAAACCCGGUGAUCUAGCCAUGGGCAGGUUGAAGGUUGGGUAACACUAACUGGAGGACCGAACCGACUAAUGUUGAAAAAUUAGCGGAUGACUUGUGGCUGGGGGUGAAAGGCCAAUCAAACCGGGAGAUAGCUGGUUCUCCCCGAAAGCUAUUUAGGUAGCGCCUCGUGAAUUCAUCUCCGGGGGUAGAGCACUGUUUCGGCAAGGGGGUCAUCCCGACUUACCAACCCGAUGCAAACUGCGAAUACCGGAGAAUGUUAUCACGGGAGACACACGGCGGGUGCUAACGUCCGUCGUGAAGAGGGAAACAACCCAGACCGCCAGCUAAGGUCCCAAAGUCAUGGUUAAGUGGGAAACGAUGUGGGAAGGCCCAGACAGCCAGGAUGUUGGCUUAGAAGCAGCCAUCAUUUAAAGAAAGCGUAAUAGCUCACUGGUCGAGUCGGCCUGCGCGGAAGAUGUAACGGGGCUAAACCAUGCACCGAAGCUGCGGCAGCGACGCUGAUGCGUUGUUGGGUAGGGGAGCGUUCUGUAAGCCUGUGAAGGUGUGCUGUGAGGCAUGCUGGAGGUAUCAGAAGUGCGAAUGCUGACAUAAGUAACGAUAAAGCGGGUGAAAAGCCCGCUCGCCGGAAGACCAAGGGUUCCUGUCCAACGUUAAUCGGGGCAGGGUGAGUCGACCCCUAAGGCGAGGCCGAAAGGCGUAGUCGAUGGGAAACAGGUUAAUAUUCCUGUACUUGGUGUUACUGCGAAGGGGGGACGGAGAAGGCUAUGUUGGCCGGGCGACGGUUGUCCCGGUUUAAGCGUGUAGGCUGGUUUUCCAGGCAAAUCCGGAAAAUCAAGGCUGAGGCGUGAUGACGAGGCACUACGGUGCUGAAGCAACAAAUGCCCUGCUUCCAGGAAAAGCCUCUAAGCAUCAGGUAACAUCAAAUCGUACCCCAAACCGACACAGGUGGUCAGGUAG
This 1254-nucleotide ribosomal RNA is filed under the name Escherichia coli. RNAcentral describes it as "partial 23S ribosomal RNA". It matches the Rfam family "Bacterial large subunit ribosomal RNA", at positions 418 to 1674 of the family's 2925-position model. Lineage: Bacteria; Pseudomonadati; Pseudomonadota; Gammaproteobacteria; Enterobacterales; Enterobacteriaceae. The record is from RNAcentral.